Molecule: long non-coding RNA, 991 nt
Organism: Oncorhynchus mykiss (rainbow trout)
Lineage: Eukaryota; Metazoa; Chordata; Actinopteri; Salmoniformes; Salmonidae
Source: RefSeq, a predicted model, not a curated record
GAUGAAAGUGAGAGGAGAAUGAAAGACAGAGAUGGGGAGAGAGAAUCAGACUUUAGACUUUAAUAUUUCAACAACUCUUGUCUUCCAACCUUUUAGGAAAUCCCAGCCACACAGGAGGGUGAUUUUCAUUGAAGAGAAGGAGGUCGUGCUGACCGAGAUGCAUGCUGGCCAUUUUGGAGUGAAGUGCAUGAUUGCCAAAAAAUCAACCUACACUUCUUCUGGCGUGGGAUUGUCAAGGAGGUCAGUACCUAUCUAGUCUGCCAGAAGUUUGAGAGGGUUAAGACUGUGGCUCAAGAGCGGAAGCCCAUCAAAGUUGUUUCACCAUGUGCCAUGAUCGGACAAUUGUUCAGAGGAUGGGGCUGGAGGGAAAAGCUCACAGGUGGUCAGGACUCAAAGAAGUGGGAGAAUUUAAAGAAGUACAUGGUAGGAAGCAUUGGAUGGGUCAUAGAAAUCUUAGUGCAAUUGUAAUGUCACUGUUGUUUCAUAAUCUCCUAAACUCAUUGCUUUUGCCCUCCAAUAUUGUUGGUUCAAUGAAUACAUUACUGAACCCAACUAAGAUUUCCAUAGUAGGUUACGGUAAAUGUAAUAUGUUAUGCAUGCCAACUGGAAAAAUGCUCAAACAAUAUAUUGACAUUUUCUUGAUAGGACUUGAAAAAUGUUCCUACCAGAACAGGGACAGAUCAGGGAGAGGCCACUGCUGAGAGCUGGUUCAAAGUAAUUGUCACGCCCUGGCCUUAGUUAUCUUUGUUUUCUUUAUUAUUUUGGUUAGGCCAGGGUGUGACAUGGGUGAUGUAUGGUUUUUGUCUCAUCUAGGGUGUUUGUACUGUCUAGGUUUUUUUUUUGUAGAUUUAUGGGGUUGUGUUCAUUCUAGGUGUUUAUGCAAGGCUAUGGUUGCCUAGAUUUGUUCUCAAUCAGAGGCAGGUGUUUAUCGUUGUCUCUGAUUGGGAACCAUAUUUAGGCAGCCAUGUUCUUUGGGAAUUUUGUGGGUGAU